UAGGGAGCGAGCGUUAUCCGGAAUUAUUGGGCGUAAAGGGUGCGUAGAUGGUCAAUUAAGUCUCAUGUAAAAAUGCUGGGCUCAACCCAGUAGGGCAUGAGAUACUAAUAGACUAGAGUAUGACAGAGGCAAGUGGAACUACAUGUGUAGCGGUAAAAUGCGUAAAUAUAUGUAAGAACACCGGUGGCGAAGGCGGCUUGCUGGGUCGAUACUGACAUUGAGGCACGAAAGCGUGGGGAGCAAA
Molecule: ribosomal RNA, 244 nt
Filed under: uncultured bacterium
Lineage: Bacteria
Description: partial 16S ribosomal RNA
Rfam family: Bacterial small subunit ribosomal RNA
Source: RNAcentral